GACAGAGGAUGCAAGCGUUAUCCGGAAUGAUUGGGCGUAAAGCGUCUGUAGGUGGCUUUUUAAGUCCGCCGUCAAAUCCCAGGGCUCAACCCUGGAAUGCCGGUGGAAACUGUCAAGCUUGAGUCCGGAAGAGGCGAGUGGAAUUCCUGGUGUAGCGGUGAAAUGCGCAGAUAUCAGGAGGAACACCAAUGGCGAAGGCAGCUCGCUGGGACGGUACUGACGCUGAGACGCGAAAGCGUGGGGAGCGAACGGG
RNAcentral lists this ribosomal RNA (253 nucleotides) under uncultured bacterium. RNAcentral describes it as "partial 16S ribosomal RNA". It matches the Rfam family "Bacterial small subunit ribosomal RNA", at positions 524 to 776 of the family's 1533-position model. The record is from RNAcentral.